ACUCAAAUGAAUAGACGGGGGCCCGCACAAGCAGCGGAGCGUGUGGUUUAAUUCGACGCGACGCGCAGCACCUUACCAGGGCUUGACAUGGACGUGCAAACCCCCGAAAGGGGGCUUCCUUCGAGGGUCGUCCACAGAUGCUGCAUGGCUGUCGUCAGCUCGUGCCGUGAGGUGUUGGGUUAAGUCCCGCAACGAGCGCAACCCUCGUCGCCAGUUGCACCGCUCUGGCGAGACGGCCGGCCGCAAGCCGGAGGAAGGUGGGGAUGACGUCAAGUCCGCAUGGCUCUGACGCCCUGGGCGACACACACGCUACAAUGGCGCCGACAGAGGGCAUCGCCAACCCGCGAGGGGGAGCCAAUCCCAGAAACGGCGUCUCAGUUCGGAUCGCGGGCUGCAACCCGCCCGCGUGAAGCCGGAGUUGCUAGUAACCGCAGGUCAGCACUACUGCGGUGAAUGCGUUCCCGGGCCUUGUACACACCGCCCGU
This 485-nucleotide ribosomal RNA is filed under the name uncultured bacterium. RNAcentral describes it as "partial 16S ribosomal RNA". It matches the Rfam family "Bacterial small subunit ribosomal RNA", at positions 899 to 1397 of the family's 1533-position model. The record is from RNAcentral.